This 777-nucleotide ribosomal RNA is filed under the name uncultured bacterium. RNAcentral's name for it is "bacterial SSU rRNA". It matches the Rfam family "Bacterial small subunit ribosomal RNA", at positions 8 to 787 of the family's 1533-position model. The record is from RNAcentral.
AGAGUUUGAUCAUGGCUCAGAUUGAACGCUGGCGGCGUGCUUAACACAUGCAAGUCGAACGCGAAAGCACCUUCGGGUGUGAGUAGAGUGGCGGACGGGUGAGUAACGCGUGAGAAUCUACCUUGCAGUGGGGGACAACCCGGGGAAACUCGGGCUAAUACCGCAUACGACCUACGGGAGAAAGGGGGCUUCGGCUCUCGCUGCAAGAUGAGCCCGCGUCCGAUUAUCUAGUUGGUGGGGUAAAGGCCCACCAAGGCGACUAUCGGUAUCUGGUCUGAGAAGAUGAUCACCCACACUGGGACUGAGACACGGCCCACACUCCUACGGGAGGCAGCAGUGGGGAAUAUUGGACAAUGGGCGAAAGCCUGAUCCAGCAGUGCCGCGUGUGUGAAGAACGCCUGCGGGUUGUAAAGCACUUUCAGUGGGGAAGAAAAGUCCAAGGUUAAUACCCUUGGGCGUUGACGUUACCCACAGAAGAAGCACCGGCUAACUCCGUGCCAGCAGCCGCGGUAAUACAGAGGGUGCGAGCGUUAAUCAGAAUCACUGGGCGUAGAGCGCACGUACGCGGCUGAGUAACUCAUAUGUGAAAGCCCCGGUCUCAACCUGAGAACUGCAUUUGAUACUGCUUGGCUUGAGUAUGGUAGAGGGGUGUGGAAUUCCAUGUGUAGCGGUGAAGUGCGUAUAUAUCUGGAAGAACACCAGUGGCGAAGGCGGCCCUCUGGACCAAUACUGACUCUGAGGUGCGAAAGCGUGGAGAGCAAACAAGAUUAUAUACCC